GUUAUAUAAAUAAAUCCAACUUGUAUCAGUUUCAUCUCCCUGGACUAUCUUUUCAAUCACUCAGCAAGUGUGACCCAUCAUCAUUCAAGCCAAUCUUUCCAAGUCUCUCAUCAUAAAGGAGUUCAUCCAUUCUCAUGAACAUUUUAAUAAUUCUGAUGGGGUCGAACAAGAGAUACAGGGAGAGAGAGACAUGCAGUAUGGACCAGGCAGCAGGAGAAAACAAAAAGCAGUGGAGAGUGUUAUGAAAGACUGUGGGAUGGCUCCAAUCACUUUCAGUCCCUCUGGUGGACACCAGACUGGUAUUCAGCUACAAUUAUAAAUUGCUGCCUAUCAUGACUGGCAAGAUAUUCAAGAAUAGCACUGCAUUUCAGGGUAGGGACCUCAGCCCUGGAAGCAGACCAGCAUGUACAAAUCACAGCCCUUCACUCUCUGUCUGUAAGGUCUGUGAAGGAAUGCAAACUCUGUGUACUACUGGUGGUCGUCUUUGAGAGCAGGAACAAGUAUGGCCUGGAUAGGAAGAGCUUGGACCUGGAAUUUCCCAGAAGAACAACAAAAGCCUCUAGCAGGACAUAAGGCAAGGCAAUGGCAGGCCAAGCAUUCUGUCUGUCCUUCCUGACUCACCUGCAUUUUGCCUGAUGACUGCUCC
Taeniopygia guttata (zebra finch) is the source of this 646-nucleotide long non-coding RNA. RefSeq lists it as uncharacterized. NCBI's taxonomy places the organism in Eukaryota, Metazoa, Chordata, Aves, Passeriformes, Estrildidae. The record is from RefSeq and is a predicted model, not a curated record.